AUAAUCUUAAGUAAAAUCUGCUCUAUGAAAAUUAAAUGGCCGCAGAAUUUUUACUGUGCUAAGGUAGCAUAAUCAUUUACCUUUUAAUUAAAGGUUUGUAUGAAAGAUUUAACAUUUAAAUUACUUUUUUAUUUAAAUAUAUUUUAAAUUUUAAUUAAGUAUAAAAAUGUAUUUAUUUUUAAAAAAGACGAUAAGACCCUAUUGAACUUUACUACUGUUAAGCUGGGGAAGCUAAUUAAAUAUAAUUUUAAUUUUUAACACUAAAAAUAUUUCUAAUAAAAUUAAUUAUAAAAGUUACCAUAGGGAUAACAGCGUUAUACUAUUUUAAAGAUCAUAUUAAAAAUAUUGUUUACGACCUCGAUGUUGAAUUAAAAUUCCUUAAAAACGCAAUAGUAAAAGAGGAGGUCUGU
RNAcentral lists this ribosomal RNA (410 nucleotides) under Solenysa mellotteei. RNAcentral describes it as "partial 16S ribosomal RNA". Lineage: Eukaryota; Metazoa; Arthropoda; Arachnida; Araneae; Linyphiidae. The record is from RNAcentral.